Molecule: long non-coding RNA, 2044 nt
Filed under: Homo sapiens (human)
Lineage: Eukaryota; Metazoa; Chordata; Mammalia; Primates; Hominidae
Description: non-protein coding lnc-PFKP-11:2
Source: RNAcentral
CGGACGGGACAGAUUGGAUCGCACCUGUCACAGCCACGCUCUGGAAUAGCGAGGGCCCAGCGUCCCCAGGCCCAGGGUGAGGAGAAUCCCUGCCACACUGUGUCUGGAAUUGGUGGGUUCUUGGUCUCACUGACUUCAAGAAUGAAGCCGCGGACCCUCACGAACCCUCUGUGGAAGCGGUGGUCUGACACAAGCAUUUCUGGAUGACGCUGAACCUGCUUACAACUCCCUGCUGCUGUCAGGCAGAACAUUCUCCAAACCGCAUGAAUUUGGAAGUCUGGACACUUCAGGCAUCAUCAGGUUUAUGGUUUUGUCAUAACCCUGCUGAAAGUCCUUUACCAUCUCCAGGCCUCCAUUUAUUUUCUAUAAAAUAAGGAGUUUGGAAUGGCACUGUGUUGAUAUUCUCCAGUUUUGUGAAACAUCGUACUCAACAAUCGCGAGCAGGCAUUUUACAGACCUUGCUUUCCUAGACCUGCUCAAGUAGAACAUUCAGGUCAGUGCUAAGAGUUAAUAUGCUGCCUCCGUCUGACCUCCACAUUAUGAAAAAAAAUAUAAAGGAAAGAGCAAAAGGUAGAGCAAGUAGGUUUCGGGCUUGGUGGAGUAGCUCUGAGUGCUGCCCUGUCCUUGGCUGUGUGUGCCAGGUGAAGCGUCUGUGAAGGUCCCCAGUGGGGUGUGCAGAGCACAAGGGCUGCUUCUGAAUGCAGGCACGUGAUCUAAGGACACUGUGCAUCACCAGUGUGACCCCAGGAGUAGUUUCAGAGCUUUGAUAAGACCUAGGCCAGGCUCAGUGGCUCACGCCUGUCAUCUCAGCACUUUGGGAGGCCAAGGUGGGUGGAUCAGCUGAGGUCAGGAGUUCAAGACCAGCCUGACCAAUAUGGUGAAAUCCUGUCCCUACUAAAAGUACAAAAAUUAGUUGGGUGUGGGGGCGAGCGCCUGUAAUCCCAGCUACACCACAGGAAUCUGGGCUGUAAAGGCAGGAUAUAAAUUCAAGUCCACAUGCUAUGGAGAAAUCAGAGGUUUCGAAAGUAUCUCCGUGACUGUUUUUGAAGUCACAGCUAAUAAUUCACCGUCUGACACUCCGGGGCUUGCCUGGAUCUAAAAAUAGUUGUUCCCCCGAGCUGGUCGGGGAACUGGCUGAGAAGGGAGGGAGCUGCGUGGAACACAUUCUGAACCAUCAGGAAACCCAAAGCAAAAUCGAAUCUUGCCACCUAAGAUUUGAUUAUUAAAAGAUGGAUUUGACAGCUGAUUCCCCAUUAAUUACAUUUGUAAAGAUAUUUGAAAGACAGGAAUGAAAUGACAGUGGCCCUGACACAGUCCUUGGGGUUUAAGACGGAGUCUGACAUUGUAUCUGUCUCCGGUUCUGCAGCAGCUUAGCGACAUCAGAGACAAUUGAAGCAAAGGGCCCACUUAUGGCUGACAGCUGACCCUGCAGCCCAGCUGGGAAGCCCCUGAGACGACCCGGGUCCAGCCAUCAGGGAAGGGAACCAGCGUGGCCCCAGGAGGGCUUUAGGCUGAGGCUUCUCCCAGGAUGUGGAGGCUCAGCACUUUGCACAAAUUGGAUUCAUGCCAAAGGAAACUGAAAGCCUGCCUUUCUUUUUUUCCCAGUGCACAUCUCAGAUUAUUUGGCCUUUGUCCGAGGACUGAAAACAGUUCUGUGUCCAAGUAUGUUUUUAAUACCUGAUAUUUAUUUCACAAAAAAGCUGAAAUUGCUUUGUGUGUCCAGGCUUGAAUGUUUAAGGCAUACUUGAUUAAUACAUGUGUGCUGAGCGCUUCCUGGGGCUCCUAGACACUGCCAAAGGUAGCUCAGUGGGGAAAUUCAAGGCAAUUUUCCCCUUAACUUUUGCUACUUCUGACCAUUUUCCACUUAUGUUAUUAUGCUUCUGUAUCCAUCUGUCUGCCUAUGUCUAGCUAUCCAUCAUCUAUCAAUCAAUCACUGUAUCUUGCAAUGGAGGAAUUAACUGUGAUGUUUUCAAGCGUGUCGCUUCUCUCAUAUUCCUAUUAACAUAUUGGAAACGCUCAGCUAAAUAGAAUAAAGUUUUUAGCC